GACGAACGCUGGCGGCGUGCCUAAUACAUGCAAGUAGAACGCUGAAGGAGGAGCUUGCUUCUCCGGAUGAGUUGCGAACGGGUGAGUAACGCGUAGGUAACCUGCCUGGUAGCGGGGGAUAACUAUUGGAAACGAUAGCUAAUACCGCAUAAGAGUAGAUGUCGCAUGACAUUUGCUUAAAAGGUGCAACUGCACCACUACCAGAUGGACCUGCGUUGUAUUAGCUAGUUGGUGAGGUAACGGCUCACCAAGGCAACGAUACAUAGCCGACCUGAGAGGGGGGUCGGCCACACUGGGACUGCGACACGGCCCAGACUCCUACGGGAGGCAGCAGUAGGGAAUCUUCGGCAAUGGACGGAAGUCUGACCGAGCAACGCCGCGUGAGUGAAGAAGGUUUUCGGAUCGUAAAGCUCUGUUGUAAGAGAAGAACGAGUGUGAGAGUGGAAAGUUCACACUGUGACGGUAUCUUACCAGAAAGGGACGGCUAACUACGUG
RNAcentral lists this ribosomal RNA (495 nucleotides) under uncultured bacterium. Its description in RNAcentral is "partial 16S ribosomal RNA". It matches the Rfam family "Bacterial small subunit ribosomal RNA", at positions 28 to 507 of the family's 1533-position model. The record is from RNAcentral.